UACGGAGGGUGCUAGCGUUGUUCGGAAUCACUGGGCGUAAAGGGCGCGUAGGCGGCCGUUUGCGUCGGAUGUGAAAGCCCGGGGCUCAACCUCGGAACGGCAUUCGAUACGGGACGGCUGGAGACCGGGAGAGGAGAGUGGAAUAGCCAGUGUAGAGGUGAAAUUCGUAGAUAUUGGCUGGAACACCGGUGGCGAAAGCGGCUCUCUGGCCCGGUUCUGACGCUGAGGCGCGAAAGCGUGGGGAGCAAACAGG
RNAcentral lists this ribosomal RNA (253 nucleotides) under uncultured bacterium. Its description in RNAcentral is "partial 16S ribosomal RNA". It matches the Rfam family "Bacterial small subunit ribosomal RNA", at positions 524 to 776 of the family's 1533-position model. The record is from RNAcentral.